This 422-nucleotide ribosomal RNA is filed under the name uncultured bacterium. Its description in RNAcentral is "bacterial SSU rRNA". It matches the Rfam family "Bacterial small subunit ribosomal RNA", at positions 355 to 774 of the family's 1533-position model. The record is from RNAcentral.
UAAGGAAUAUUGGUCAAUGGACGCAAGUCUGAACCAGCCAUGCCGCGUAGAGGAUUAAGGCCCUCUGGGUUGUAAACUCCUUUUAUCUGGGAAGAAAUGUACUUUUUCUUGAGUACUUGACGGUACCAGAGGAAUAAGCACCGGCUAACUCCGUGCCAGCAGCCGCGGUAAUACGGAGGGUGCAAGCGUUAUCCGGAUUCACUGGGUUUAAAGGGUGCGUAGGUGGGCAGGUAAGUCAGUGGUGAAAUCUCCGGGCUUAACCCGGAAACUGCCGUUGAUACUAUUUGUCUUGAAUAUUGUGGAGGUAAGCGGAAUAUGUCAUGUAGCGGUGAAAUGCUUAGAUAUGACAUAGAACACCAAUUGCGAAGGCAGCUUACUACACAAUCAUUGACGCUGAGGCACGAAAGCGUGGGGAUCAAACA